GACGAAGGGGGCUAGCGUUGUUCGGAAUUACUGGGCGUAAAGCGCGUGUAGGCGGUUGUUCAAGUCGGGUGUGAAAGCCUUGAGCUCAACUCAAGAAAUGCACUCGGUACUGGAUGACUAGAGGACCGGAGAGGAUAGUGGAAUUCCCAGUGUAGUGGUGAAAUACAUAGAGAUUGGGAAGAACACCAGUGGCGAAGGCGGCUAUCUGGACGGUUUCUGACGCUAAGACGCGAAAGCGUGGGGAGCAAACAGG
RNAcentral lists this ribosomal RNA (253 nucleotides) under uncultured bacterium. RNAcentral's name for it is "partial 16S ribosomal RNA". It matches the Rfam family "Bacterial small subunit ribosomal RNA", at positions 524 to 776 of the family's 1533-position model. The record is from RNAcentral.